Molecule: long non-coding RNA, 385 nt
Organism: Thamnophis elegans (Western terrestrial garter snake)
Lineage: Eukaryota; Metazoa; Chordata; Lepidosauria; Squamata; Natricidae
Exons: 2
Source: RefSeq, a predicted model, not a curated record
UGCAUUAAAGAUUAGUCAGUUCAGUCAGUUAAAGACAGUCGGUUCCUUUCCAUAGAUUGUCAUUUAUUAAUGCAUAUUAAAGGUGUGUUAAUAAUUGGCAAUCUAUGAAAGGGAACUGACUGUUUUGGCCAAAAAAGGGAUUUAAAAACAUCUUCCACAGCUGCUAUCCUAUAAAACAUAUUUUUCUAAGAUCACUGUGCAUGAGGAGAACUCCCUGUUGGUAGAACAGUGCUGGCCUUCAAAUGAAACACUUCAAGCAACAUGGCCGAUAUUGAAAGAAGCUGAACCGAGGUGCCUUUGCAAAAUGGCAGUGGAAAGAACCUGUUGCAUUUGCAAAGAGGCUGUCACAACUACAGCACCAGUUUAAAAGGUCCCAAAUCAAGGG